AGUUUAGGUAAGUAAUGGGGAUGUAUGUUUAAUGUGAACCAUAAUAACUACGUGCAUGGUUAUGUGAUUGAUUCGGUUCAUCUCUUUCUGUGUUUGCAGGAUUACUCAAAAAGUGUAUUGAGAGAUUUGCAUGAAAUUAUUUUUUUCAUCAAAGAUAGGUCUUGGUGAUGUACAACAGGUAAUAAAAUUCAGGACUCUUUUUUGAAGGUGGAAGGUGUGAGAUUGCUCAGCAUUCUUGCUCUUGUUUGAUUUUCACCACAUAUAGUAUGAUAUAAAGAUUUUUAGUCCUAGAAUAACUAUGAGCAUAAACAGACAAGAACACUAACGUAUGCAUAUCUAAAAGGUCACAAAAUGUGUGCGGGUCCACAGAGGAAACAAAGGGGCAUUAAAAUAUGCCUUAGUUGUGGAAAAAACAGCAGAUCAAAGCAACCUCACUGGAGUCACACCCUUUACUCUCAUGUGUUCUACACUGACCAAAUGCUGACCACACACAGCGAUGAAGUGAUACAGCAUGAAGGGGCAAUCUGGUGCUUCAAGCUAAACCAAACAAAUAGAGAUUGCCGAUUCAAAAGAGGCGACAUUUCAUUUGGAUCGCCUGCCAUUAGUUCAGGAGGCAUUGGGCAUGUAGAAAGUGGGGCAGAGGUCCAGGCUGUGCAUCCCCCACAUUUGAAGAGAAGAAACAGAGAUAAAACCAGAUGAGAGGAAUCGUUUCCCAUGGAGGCUGAAGGAGGGGUGAGGAGUUGAGAAGGCUCAAGAGAAAUCUUCCUGUGAAAAAGUGGCCGAGAGGAGUUCACAACAGUCUCUUUGUGGGUGGACUACGCUGGGGGCUCCCUGCUGAACUGUGCAAUGCCUGGACUGCUUGUUAAAUACACGAAUGUAACAUCCAAAAAUCUGUUUCCACUAAAAUAUUGCCUCAGACUUUACAGCAGUGGACACUGGGGUAAGAGAGUAUCCUCAAGGAAAAGAUGGCAGAUUGUGGAGAACUGCCCUGGCGACAGACGACCUGCCAGUGAGGAAGAAAUGUCUCGGAGUGAAGGAAAGGGCCCAAACCCACUCGACUAGCCAGGGCUCGGUAGAUUUUGGUUUGGCACUGAGCUGCCUUUCCCCACGUUCACAAGUCAAUGGAAACCAAUGGUAUCUCGUUCCGUUUAAAUGAAGUCAACAUCCAAAAUGAUUGUACACAUAAGAGGGAAGAAAAUUGCCAUUGAAAAACAUCUGUUGUGUCGUCUUGGAAAUAAACCAGGAAGAAAAAGUAAAAGUCUUGCAUAGCCAAAAUGUCCACAGUGCUGUCAAAGAGGGGCCUCUGACACACGAGCCUUGGAUACAAGGUGAGGAUAAAAC
This is a long non-coding RNA of Scophthalmus maximus (turbot), 1341 nucleotides long. RefSeq lists it as uncharacterized. The transcript is spliced from 3 exons. The record is from RefSeq and is a predicted model, not a curated record. Lineage: Eukaryota; Metazoa; Chordata; Actinopteri; Pleuronectiformes; Scophthalmidae.